RNAcentral lists this unclassified non-coding RNA (303 nucleotides) under Hevea brasiliensis (rubber tree). The record is from RNAcentral. Lineage: Eukaryota; Viridiplantae; Streptophyta; Magnoliopsida; Malpighiales; Euphorbiaceae.
AAAACCCAAAGCCCCAAAAACCAUACCCCAUAAGCCCAAGCCCGAAAUUAAAUUUAAAACCCAACCGACUAAAACCCAAAACCUACACCCAAGCCCACAACCCAAAACCUAAAGCCCCUAACCCGAUAAACCAUUACCUUCCUCUUCCUCUCGACAUCACCCCCGACAUAACCCUCCCAUCCCGCUGUAACCUUCAUCUUCACCGUCGCCUCCACCACCCACCACUCUUCCCAUAUUUCUCCUUUUCCAAUCACGCCCCUCCAUUUCGCCAUGUCCGAAUCCCCAUUAUCCUUCGAAAACUCA